RNAcentral lists this ribosomal RNA (497 nucleotides) under uncultured bacterium. RNAcentral describes it as "partial 16S ribosomal RNA". It matches the Rfam family "Bacterial small subunit ribosomal RNA", at positions 28 to 507 of the family's 1533-position model. The record is from RNAcentral.
GAUGAACGCUGGCGGCGUGCCUAAUACAUGCAAGUCGAGCGAACGGACGAGAAGCUUGCUUCUCUGAUGUUAGCGGCGGACGGGUGAGUAACACGCGGAUAACCUACCUAUAAGACUGGGAUAACUUCGGGAAACCGGAGCUAAUACCGGAUGAUAUUUUGAACCGCAUGGUUCAAAGGUGAAAGACGGUCUUGCUGUCACUUAUAGAUGGAUCCGCGCUGCAUUAGCUAGUUGGUAAGGUAACGGCUUACCAAGGCAACGAUGCAUAGCCGACCUGAGAGGGUGAUCGGCCACACUGGAACUGAGACACGGUCCAGACUCCUACGGGAGGCAGCAGUAGGGAAUCUUCCGCAAUGGGCGAAAGCCUGACGGAGCAACGCCGCGUGAGUGAUGAAGGUCUUCGGAUCGUAAAACUCUGUUAUUAGGGAAGAACAUAUGUGUAAGUAACUGUGCACAUCUUGACGGUACCUAAUCAGAAAGCCACGGCUAACUACGUG